Molecule: ribosomal RNA, 433 nt
Filed under: uncultured bacterium
Lineage: Bacteria
Description: partial 16S ribosomal RNA
Rfam family: Bacterial small subunit ribosomal RNA
Source: RNAcentral
AACGAACGCUGGCGGCAUGCCUAACACAUGCAAGUCGAACGAGACCUUCGGGAGUAGUGGCGCACGGGUGCGUAGCGCGAGGGAACCUUCACUUAGGUUCGGCAUAACUCCACGACAGGGGUGCUAAUGCCGGAUAAUGUCUUCGGACGAAAGAUUUAUCGCCUUUGUAUGGGCCCGCGUUGGAUUAGCUAGUUGGUAGGGUAAAAGCCUACCAAGGCGACGAUCCAUAGCUGGUCAGAGAGGAUGAUCAGCCACACUGGGACUGAGACCCGGCCCAGACUCCUACGGGAGGCAGCAGUGGGUGAUAUUGGACAAUGGGCGAAAGCCUGAUGCAGCAAUGCCGCGUGAGUGAUGAAGGCCUUAGAGUUGUAAAGCUCUUUUACCCGGGAUGAUAAUGACAGUACCGGGAGAAUAAGCUCCGGCUAACUCCGUG